GUGACUGUCGUUUGUGUGGCUGCCAGUUUUACAAGGCUGUAAACUGCAGUGGCAGGAAUUGCUUUUAUUUAUGGAUUAUGUACGGUGAACUCAGUGAGAACGGGGGCUUCGCUGUCACCACCGCUGACUCUCAGAGCCUGGAGCAGGCCUGGCCCAGAGGGGGAUCCCGCAGCUGUUUAGAAACGUACGGAUACAGGCCUGCAGUGACCACAACAGCGCGCACACAUGAGCAACCCUGGACAAAUAUUCAUUGGAUUGAAUUAAAUAGAAUCUGCACAGAAGAGGUGACACGUUCAAUGAGAACGUAACACGAAAUUCGGAGAGCAGGUCAGAAGAUACCUCAGUCUGGUAUGGAAGCUGAAAAAGAACCAACAUAAAAAC
Artibeus jamaicensis (Jamaican fruit-eating bat) is the source of this 381-nucleotide long non-coding RNA. RefSeq lists it as uncharacterized. The transcript is spliced from 3 exons. The record is from RefSeq and is a predicted model, not a curated record. Lineage: Eukaryota; Metazoa; Chordata; Mammalia; Chiroptera; Phyllostomidae.